Molecule: ribosomal RNA, 484 nt
Filed under: uncultured bacterium
Lineage: Bacteria
Description: partial 16S ribosomal RNA
Rfam family: Bacterial small subunit ribosomal RNA
Source: RNAcentral
AUUGAACGCUGGCGGCAGGCCUAACACAUGCAAGUCGAGCGGAUGAAGGGAGCUUGCUCCUGGAUUCAGCGGCGGACGGGUGAGUAAUGCCUAGGAAUCUGCCUGGUAGUGGGGGAUAACGUCCGGAAACGGGCGCUAAUACCGCAUACGUCCUGUGGGAGAAAGUGGGGGAUCUUCGGACCUCACGCUAUCAGAUGAGCCUAGGUCGGAUUAACUAGUUGGUGGGGUAAAGGCCUACCAAGGCGACGAUCCGUAACUGGUCUGAGAGGAUGAUCAGUCACACUGGAACUGAGACACGGUCCAGACUCCUACGGGAGGCAGCUGUGGGGAAUAUUGGACAAUGGGCGAAAGCCUGAUCCAGCCAUGCCGCGUGUGUGAAGAAGGUCUUCGGAUUGUAAAGCACUUUAAGUUGGGAGGAAGGGCAGUAAGUUAAUACCUUGCUGUUUUGACGUUACCAACAGAAUAAGCACCGGCUAACUUCGUG